GGACUUUAUGCUGCUGUUCCUCUCUGCAUAGGAAAUUGCAGUCUAUGCUGGAAUCACCAUGGAGACAACAUCACUUGCCAGAUGUCUUACUUGUAGGCACAUAUUGAAACUAGCGAGCAUUUCAGUUUUUUCUCUCGCCUCUCUCUGUUCUACAACAUACCUUUAAUCAGUACUAUUUGAUGUGAAUUGUUAUCUUUUUUUUUUACAUUUGGUCAAAUAUUUAUGUAAAUACAUGUUUAUAGUUUUUUUUUAAAUAGUUAUGGUGUAAAAGGUGAGCUGUAUAUAACUUGUUUACUUGCUAAGAAAUCAAGAGUUUUGUAGAAUUGAAAAACAGUGGUAUUCAAAAUGUGAAUAGAACCAUUUGACAAGAUUUAAACAGUUUGGAUUUUUUUAUAAAGAAAUGGUUAAGUGCUGUAUUCAGCUAUUUAAAUGACAAAGAACACUAACAGAUUUUGUUGUUUUUAGGCGGACUACAAUUCUAGUUAUCAGUACAAUUAUGGGGACUUAGGAGGAGAUAAUGUUGGUGUAGCCCGGGCUGAAGGGGACGCUCACAAGUCAGAUGGUGUAAAACUGAAAAAAGGAAUCCAGAGUAGUGCUACUAUUUCUGCAGGCCCUCGAGGAGUUACAGCUUCAAAUGUUCAGGCUAAUCUGGGCUCGGUUGUUGUUGAUGGUGUUAGCUAUGCUAAGUACCUACCUCCGGAUACUUCUACUUACCAGUAUGAUGAUACAUCGGGAUAUUACUAUGAUCCAAGUACGGGUCUUUAUUAUGAUGCUAACUCUCAGUACUACUAUAAUGCAGAAGCACAACAGUUUCUAUACUGGGAUGGAGAAAAA
Molecule: long non-coding RNA, 834 nt
Filed under: Limulus polyphemus (Atlantic horseshoe crab)
Lineage: Eukaryota; Metazoa; Arthropoda; Merostomata; Xiphosura; Limulidae
Description: uncharacterized LOC106477706, transcript variant X1
Source: RNAcentral